AUUGAACGCUGGCGGCAUGCCUUACACAUGCAAGUCGAACGGCGGCGCGGGAGCAAUCCUGGCUGCGAGUGGCGAACGGGUGAGUAAUACAUCGGAACGUGCCCAAUCGUGGGGGAUAACGCAGCGAAAGCUGUGCUAAUACCGCCUACGAUCUACGGAUGAAAGCAGGGGAUCGCAAGACCUUGCGCGAAUGGAGCGGUCGAUGGCAGAUUAGGUAGUUGGUGAGGUAAAGGCUCACCAAGCCAUCGAUUUGUAGCUGGUCUGAGAGGACGACCAGCCACACUGGGACGGAGACACGGCCCAGACGCCUACGGGAGGCAGCAGUGGGGAAUUUUGGACAAUGGGCGAAAGCCUGAUCCAGCCAUGCCGCGUGCAGGAUGAAGGCCUUCGGGUUGUAAACUGCUUUUGUACGGAACGAAACGGUCUUUUCUAAUAAAGAAGGCUAAUGACGGUACCGUAAGAAUAAGCACCGGCUAACUACGUG
Molecule: ribosomal RNA, 484 nt
Filed under: uncultured bacterium
Lineage: Bacteria
Description: partial 16S ribosomal RNA
Rfam family: Bacterial small subunit ribosomal RNA
Source: RNAcentral